Molecule: ribosomal RNA, 327 nt
Filed under: uncultured eukaryote
Lineage: Eukaryota
Description: partial 18S ribosomal RNA
Rfam family: Eukaryotic small subunit ribosomal RNA
Source: RNAcentral
CCCUUAGAUGUUCUGGGCCGCACGCGUGCUACACUGAGUGGAUCAGCGGGUCAGGUUGCGCGAAAGUGUUUCCUAAUCUUGAAAUCCGCUCGUGAUGGGGAUUGACGGUUGCAAUUUUCCGUCAUGAACGAGGAAUACCUUGUAAGCGCGGGUCAUCAUCCCGCGCUGAAUACGUCCCUGCCCUUUGUACACACCGCCCGUCGCUACUACCGAUUGGAUGGUUUAGCGAGAACUUUGGACCGGAGCUCGGGUGGUCAGCAAUGGUCGCCCGAGAUGUCUGGGAAAUCGUUCCAGCUUGAUCAUCUAGAGGAAGUAAAAGUCGUAACA